AUCACAUGAUCUUUAUUUUUGAUUAUGAGAAAACAAAAUGUCAAAUUGAUAUGUGACGUUGGUCUUUUCUUGAUUGCAUCUGAGUAGUAGAUGGGAGUGUGCCAAUCAGAUUAGUCACACAGCAGGUCUUUUGAUGUUAAUACACACUGUUUUCAUUUGUGUCGAGUGGAGAUGUUUCUCUGUGCUUUGGAACGUUGUACUAUCCACGAUUCGUACUAUCCACGAUUCGAGCCCUCCUCAAUGGCCACCUGCAUGUUGAUACGUCUGGUUGAGUGGUCUUUCCAUCCAGCGCACAAUGUCAUCGCAUCCUCCUUCAGAAGCUGGAGAUCCUUGCCACCAAGUUAGCAGAAUGAUCCUGGUACGAAAAAAUAAUUGUACAUAAUUGGGUUGUGGCAUGUACUCCAUCCCUAUUCGGUCUGCAGAUGGAGCUGUGAGGGGAGCUGUGAGGACCUCACAAAAGCACAGGUUCUGAUGCCCGGGGAAGCCAAGCAGGUCCAACUUAGCCUGGAGCCACGCCCACGAUUUACUAAAAACGGUGUUCCUAAAAACGGUGUUCCUUAAUUCUUGGUAGUAGCAUCAUGUUCUAUUUAGAGUAGCCUAUAAAAACUUAACCGUCAUGGGCCAUGCCCGUAGAAUCACGUGCAAUCACAUGCAAUCACAUGCAAUUUAGUCUAGAAUUUUCCAAGCCAUGUUGCUAUGUUAAAAUUUCAUCUUACCGCACGAAGCUAUGGCUAGAUUGUUUACUUGUGCCGAUGUGCUUGAGGACAGCAAUGGCUCUGGUGAUGACAGUGCCUAUGAAGGAGAGGGAUACCUCCCAAAGGCUACCAGCUUUAUGCCAGACGCUGAUGAACUGUCUGGGACUGAGGACAUGCAUGACAUGGACCUAGACGCUAGUGCUAUGGACCAGGACGGUGAAAGACCAGGAGAGGGCUCACUGUGUGACUCUGGCAAGUAGUAUAGUAUAGCUAGAAUAUCAGUAGUGUAAGUAUAGUAUAGCUAAAAUAGCAGUCUUUAUGUGAGCUUGUAAAUUUCAUAGAUCGAGUAAUACAUGUACUUCAAAUUGAUAUAUCUUAGAGGCUGAUCCAUAAAAAAAAAAUUUUUGUCACCGCUGGCCGAGCAUUUAAACGGGUGAGUGUAGUAACCGUGGCAACAUGUGUUGCACCAUUUGUUGUAUGGGCAUUCUAUUGGUAUAUGGUUGCUAGGCCCGAUAGAGACAUUCAGACAUACUGUUAAUUAAGAAUCCGACGGUUAAAGGGUUAAUUGUUCACUUAUCUCACCUUUGGCCAAAGAAGUGGCUUGGAAAUGUCUACCUACUACACUCUAAAAAAGAUAAGUAGCUGCACUGAAUUUUUACACACAUAACAUAUUAAAAAUUGUGGUUUUAGCUGAUUUCCCACAGUCCUUAACCCUUUAACCGUCGGAUUCUUAAUUAACAGUGAAGUGUAAUUAAGUGUAAUUCUCUAUCGGGUUUCCAGCAAUAAUUACGCCCACCCGUUUUAAAUGCCUGGCGAUAAAUUUUUUUAUUGAUCAGCCUAUCAUAUCAUUAUUAAGGCCGGGUCUAGCCCAUACUGCGAUCCAAUGUUUUCUUUUUCCAAAAAACUAAUUAGCUUAAUUCCAUAAUUAGUAUGCGGACCUAAGAUCAAGCUUCAAAAACAAGAACAUCUCAUAGCUAAGUACUAGGAUCCAGCUGGGGAAGAGUAACUAGAGUGGCUAAAGCAUAUUAAUUUCCCCAGCUGGAAACAUAAUCAUGACAACCCUAUCUUUUAAGGGCCUAAACAAGUACUCUUACCCCCUAGUCCAGCAGCUAACUAAGCAAGUAGUCAUCUACAGCAAUGAAUAAAAUUAAUGUUAUCAGUUCCUGACCCAGGCCUGAAGUACCCAGAGAAGAUAAUAAUGACGACUAGUGCACUGCCUUGAAAGGAGUAUCUAGAGAGGUGCUAACAGGUAAGGCCAGCGUUGCACUUUGUUAGUGCAUCGUUCAUCUUUGAUUCUAAAUAAUUGACAUCUCAAUCUUGGCCAUUUCGAUAAGGGAAAUAUUUUGGGCCGAAUGUAAGACGCUGUGCCCAUGGUUAAGGCUAGUCGAAGAAUCAUGAAUAUUCAUGAUUCAAUCCCGUCAACUUCGGGUGCAGCAUGACGACUUUUCCAUCACACCCAGUGUAAUAUUGCUCUGUGACAUCCAUUGAGGAAUAAGAUGGUAACCAGAAGUCACCUAUGUACACAGAUGGUGGUCCUGACCACAACAACACUUUUCUUAGUGCUGUUGUUCCUGUUGUUCUUGUUCUGGCAAUAGCCGGUCUGCAGAUGCAGUGUCUACUUCAUUCCGUCUUCUCACGCUUGAAACCUAUCAGCUCGAUGCUAACGAAGACAAGAUGCAAGAAUUGUACACUUUGUUAGAGCCUGCGAUAACGAAGAAGUCUCUCCAGCAGACCUAAAUAAAUCACUGUUGAUGUUUGCAGUGAAGAAAUGUGGAAAACUUAUAAACCAAUUAGGAUGCCUAUCGAACUUUUCGAACUUUUUAACAGCAUCUUCCUGACCAGCAUUAUAAAUCGUUCUCGAGUGUGUAUGGAACUCUGACAACUGUGACAACUGUUAACGGUGCUGGCCCAUAGUAACAAUAGUAACAUACAUAGUAAUAAUAGUAACAACAAAUUGAUAACACCUUAACCACUGAUUCCACUGAUUGCAAACGCAAUGUUCAUUAUUCAGCAGCUUCGUCUAACACACUAAGCUGUGUACAACAGCUCGCAUGUACAUUGUACUACCGUACUUACCAAGCAACUACGGAUGACAAGAGUAUCCAGUUCCCUGAGUCAUAAUAGAUGCUGUCUCACGUCUUUCUGAAGAGAACAGUAUUCUCUUGAUACUGAGAGCCUAUCAUCUAACGGGAAUGUGUCACUUCAAUCGUUGCGGCACAGAAUAUUACUAAACUUGAAGUUCGUGCCACUUCCCAGAAGGAACAAUCACGUACUGUUCGAACCACUGCGCCAAAACACUGCACCAAAAAAGAGAAAGUUUGGGUGAGGCUCUGGUCAACUUCCAUCAUCACUACUGCACGAUAAGCUGAUGGAGGAGAGGUGGAGAUGGAGGAGAGGUGGAGGGUGGCUGCAUAUCCCCAGGACUGAAGUUGACAACCAACACAGUGGUAAGGGUUGGAUAUGUACACUAUACUUGUACUUGUACACUAUACAUCCUGCCGCAUACCACCAGCUGGUAAAAAACACGGUUGCAUAUCUAUUACAGGCAUCACCACCACUAUGCUUCGAGGCAGGUAGGAAAAAUACCUAUACUUUCAGGAUAGUACAAAAGACUUGAAUCUUACACAUGUCCUGAACUUGGAAACUAUAUACAGGGUUGCCAGGAAAUGUGCAGAUUUUAUGGGCCGAAAAACUGUACUAUUAUCUGAUAACAUUAUUACCAUGGUUACUAUCUUGAUAUGUGUGACUUACCUUAACAAUUGUUUUGAAAAUGCUUGUAGAAAGUUUACUAGAAACAAAGUCAUGUGAUUUGUAUUCUCCUUUGCUAACGACAUGUAAGAUCACACACAUACAAUUGUAGAUUACAGAUGAGACUCACCUUGCUCUUGAAGGUAAUUUUAUUCUUUCAUGACAUGAGUAACUGUUAUGACUCAGUCUCACGAAGAUCAGCCAAAAAACAGCUGGGCUCACAGAAGCAGUCUCAGUCUCAUCUUCGGUGUGAUGCCAAUAGCAUCACUGUAGCCCAGGCAAUCAACUUGGCCUGAGUCAACUUGGCCUGAGACCGAAGGGAGUGAACAGCAAGCUGUGCACUGCUAGAAUUCCUCACGACAAACGCAAGUCAUUGAGGGUAAGCGCUUCGGAUCUGGAGUUCCACGUGCAGGAGAGGGCCUAUAUAGUUUUGAUCCAUAUAUGGUCUAGAUUUUUCUAAACUGGGGAGCAGCUCACAUGCCUGAGGGCAUAAUCAUGCUGAGGCAUUGACGUCUUACAGGACAACGGAAACAAUAUUUUUUCUGACAAAGUUCAGCUGUCGAUAUCUAGCUCAUUGUGUCAUGUUAAUUCUUAUGUUAAUUCUGUUAUAGACCAAUUGCCUCCUGACAACAAACAUUGAAAGUCAGUUUCAAGAGCCGGAGCAUCUCGGAGCAGCAUCCACAACAGCAGCAUCCACAACUGACUGUUUUUCAUUGAGACUGUGACCCGUUUUUUUAUUACACCAGCUUGCAGCCCCCUGAUAUUUUGCCACCCCUGCAAUAUGCCUGUCGAUCAUCCAGACCACAACUACUUGUAUAAUUGUCAUCAUCCCCUCGUAUUUAUAACGUCUUCAUUAUUAAUUAUUAAUCAUUAUUAAUAAUUAUAACUUUUUUUGCAAAAUUAAUUUCAAC
This is a long non-coding RNA of Halichondria panicea, 4354 nucleotides long. RefSeq lists it as uncharacterized. Lineage: Eukaryota; Metazoa; Porifera; Demospongiae; Suberitida; Halichondriidae. The record is from RefSeq and is a predicted model, not a curated record. The transcript has 5 exons.